This 1541-nucleotide long non-coding RNA is filed under the name Oryza brachyantha (malo sina). Its description in RNAcentral is "long non-coding RNA (OBRA_LNC002737)". Lineage: Eukaryota; Viridiplantae; Streptophyta; Magnoliopsida; Poales; Poaceae. The record is from RNAcentral.
CUCCCGCGUUCUGCUAUCCUCUCCUCGCCAGCCACCGGCGCUGGCCUCCUACUCCUCCGCCCUGCACUAUGCGCCUACGCCGGCCUGCUCGCCUCCCGCGCGCGAUCAAAGCCAGUCGGCUCCUCCCACCCCUUCGCCCUGGCUGCCCGACGCUGCUCUGAGAAUCAGGGAAUGUGCUUGCCCUUCUGAUCCAUACUCCUGUAGCUGAUCUUCGCUGGUACGCUAAUUAUCCCCGUGAUUCAUUUCUCUGUUGUAUGUAUGUGUGUAUAUAUAUCGAUCCUUUCAUACAACCUGCUCACAUCCUAUCUGAUUGAUCAUAUAUGAUGCAGUGUCGGGACACCAAGUAGUAUUUGUUCACUGCUCCGCAAAGUGAUUUUUACAUAAUAUUCGAUAUAUGUUUGAAUGUUUCUACCUUUUCUUGAAAGGUCAAUGUUUUGACCAUUGAUUAUCUACUGCAUCAAGCAAUCACAACUCACUUAUGUGCUGUAGGUCUAUAGUUCAAGUAGUUGUGGUGAUAAGCAGUCAUCGAAUCUCUAUUCAUGAAAUUAUUGCUUGCACAAGCCAUUCUGAGAGUUUUUUUCUUGACGAUCCAUGUUUACCACUUACUAGAAGUUAAAUUGAUCGCUACUCUAAAAUCUUGACUUUGCAGCUUUCAGGGCCUAAGGGUCUCAUUUUUUUCCUUGAAUUUUGACCAUAAAUUUAAAGUUGAUUUCAAAGAUUUUUUUUAUCGUAAAUUAUUUUUCAACCUUUGUUUCUAGAUUGCUAAGAAGAUGUAUAUAAAAGUUUCAUUCGUAAUUUUGUAAAUACAUCAUUCACUUUAGAGUUCUGGCAAGUUUUUCAGGUGAAGGCUAUACGUGGACCCAAUAUAUAUUUUUUUCAUGGCUAAGGGUUUUUGAGGACUAUGUUUCUCUUUGUACAUCCAAGCUCUUUGAGAACAUCCCACAUUAAGCUUAUCUAAUUGAGAAGCUUAAGUGAAUACUUUUGAGUGACCCCCAUGAAACUUGAAACUUGGUAGUUUCUUCUGCAGUGAAAUUAUGUGAUUAGUUUCAGCCAUAUGAACCUGAUCAAGGAGAUUUAGGUACCUUUUCUUUAGCAGAUCAGCUGAAAGCCUUGUUUAGCAUAUCGGAUAAUUGCAUCUAAACACAAGACCCAAACAUAUCCUGCUUUCUAUAUAAGUAAUACCUACUAAGGGUGAUUUACAGCAUAUCAAGCUUGAGUUUUGUGAAUUUUUACUAUGACACCACAUCCAAUUUAUAUUCUAUAUAUGCUUUUGUUCCAUGAAUUUUGUAUGCAGAGUAUAGUUUGUACUCUAACACUCCAGACAGAUUGAAUCCCUGAAUGAGGGUGUUUCGGUUGUUCAUAUUUUAUUGGUUCUCUCUUAAAGCAUCUCUAAUUGAGAUGGUAAAUCUGUAGUCCUGUGUGUAUGCUGAUGUUUUCCUAAAGACUUAUUCUGAAAAGUUUACCUGCAUGGGCUAUCUUUGAGACUUUGAACCUCCAAUCCUGAAAAACUGUAUACUACUUGGUUAAGGCAUGCAACAAUU